GAUGAACGCCGGCGGCGUGCCUAAUACAUGCAAGUCGAGCGAACGGACGAGAAGCUUGCUUUUCUGAUGUUAGCGGCGGACGGGUGAGUAACACGUGGAUAACCUACCUAUAAGACUGGGAUAACUUCGGGAAACCGGAGCUAAUACCGGAUAAUAUUUUGAACCGCAUGGUUCAAAAGUGAAAGACGGUCUUGCUGUCACUUAUAGAUGGAUCCGCGCUGCAUUAGCUAGUUGGUAAGGUAACGGCUUACCAAGGCAACGAUGCAUAGCCGACCUGAGAGGGUGAUCGGCCACACUGGAACUGAGACACGGUCCAGACUCCUACGGGAGACAGCAGUAGGGAAUCUUCCGCAAUGGGCGAAAGCCUGACGGAGCAACGCCGCGUGAGUGAUGAAGGUCUUCGGAUCGUAAAACUCUGUUAUUAGGGAAGAACAUAUGUGUAAGUAACUGUGCACAUCUUGACGGUACCUAAUCAGAAAGCCACGGCUAACUACGUG
This 497-nucleotide ribosomal RNA is filed under the name uncultured bacterium. RNAcentral describes it as "partial 16S ribosomal RNA". It matches the Rfam family "Bacterial small subunit ribosomal RNA", at positions 28 to 507 of the family's 1533-position model. The record is from RNAcentral.